Molecule: long non-coding RNA, 452 nt
Filed under: Brassica rapa (field mustard)
Lineage: Eukaryota; Viridiplantae; Streptophyta; Magnoliopsida; Brassicales; Brassicaceae
Description: long non-coding RNA (BRAP_LNC001896)
Source: RNAcentral
GAAAACAAGAGAAACUUAAAUUAAAGACAGUUUCCAUGAAUUCUCGAAAUUGAACGCUUUGAGUAAUGGAGCGUAUAAUUAAAUUAAAUAUUGUUCCUUCGAUGUUUGGCAUUCGUUAUACCAAAUUAUUUGACAAAAUAAGAACUCGUACGCCGGUGUAUGUUUUUUUUUUAAACUGAUUUUACGUCGUGUAUUCAGUCUUAGUUUUCUAUAGAGAACGAGUCGAGCAGGAAAUAAUUUAUUAGUUAAUGACGCAUUUUAUGUUAUCUUUGUCAUAUGGAUAGGAUACACAUUGUCUCACAUUCACUUUACAUCAGUAGAGUUAGUGUCACAGGAAGAAGAAGCACAGGUAGAGGAACCAAGAGGUGGAUAAGAGAUGGCUAAGUAGAUAAGCAUAAGCAUCAGCACCACCGGAAUUCCCAUCAGAAACAUUGGCGGCGGUGGAAGCGGCG